UCCAUCCACCUCACCACCACCAGGUCUGCCCCAGUCUACUUGUCCAGGGGAAGGCUCCGCCCCUGCUAGUCCUGGCAGGAUACGCCGAGUCCGCACGUCAUCCUGGAUCAGUGACGGGGCUCAUGCCAAAGAUUCACCAUGCAAAAUAUUCCCAUGUCAUUAUUUAAAUAAAUCCUGUUCAUACUUAUCAGUGAUCGAGUCUUUAUGGGAGAACUGAAAUCCUCGCUGCUGAGAAGAAAUCCAACAACCUCCAGCCCCUUGACAAAUGAAGACGAUACAGACAUAGACACCAAUGUGGACUUAUUUGACCCCCCUCAGGCUUCGGGAUCAACUGUAACUAUUUACAAAACGCAAGAAAUAAAAGUAGAAUUAGGGCCCUAUUGUUUCCACGAUCACAGAAUCGUGGACGGAAUCGUGGAAUUGAGCAAUAAAAAAGCAAUCUACUUUUUAACACGGAAUAUCACGGAAAAUGACAAUUUGACUGAAAUGCUGUUAUCGUGAGGAAGAGGAAUGUAAACCCAGGGGGAAUUUUCACAAUAAUCCGCCUUCGCUUGUAAGAAAAUGUAAGAAACACGACACUACACUCCAGGUGAGUCAUACUAGCAUAGCAUUGUUGACAUUUUCAUUUAUGCAGGACCUCUGCAAGGGGAAAGUGAAGAGGAGAGUGUCCUGAUGGAUCAGCCCAGAUCCAGUGUUGGCAUGCAACAGGAAGUGAUGGAUGCUCUGAAAGAAAUACCAGCCUUAGUCAAGUGUGUCAGAGAUCUUAUUACGACCAUGAAGAGAAUGCCACCUGUCAUGGACACUGACAGUACAUGUUCUGGUUCUUCCAGUCCAGCUCCAGAAAUUGUAUGUUUUGCAUUUAUACACGUUUUGUAAAAACUGCCUUUUUAUUACAGGAAUAUUUUCAUCCAAAAUUGUUGUAAACUACUUGACUGUUAGCAGUUUUGUCUCUGUAGUCUCGACCCAGAUUUUGCAAGUACUGUAUUUGAUAGAAACUGUUUUUUCCAUUUCAGCAUGCAGUUGUUCAGAAAUUAUGCUUUAAUUCAUUGAAGACCACUUGCAGAAAUUACAACUUAACUAAUAUUUGGCAUUCAAUAGUUCGGCUUUGUCUUUUAAGAAAUGCAUUCCAGCAACGUAUUCCUAAUACCAUUUCUAAUAAUUGACUAACUCUAUUGCCUGGGCACAGAUUUCCCUUGGCAACAUGGGGGUGCAGGUCAGCAAAACCUGUUUCAGAAGACUAAACCGAACAAGAAUGUCCCUGUUCACACAGGACUUAGCUGUGCUCAUCUUUGGGCGGGAUGUUUUGGCAUCCUCGACUCUCACAGGAAAACCAGGGCUUACUGGAACAGCGAAAGAGCAGCUAAAUCCGGAAAAGCUGAGUGCCCUUGUUAUACAGUUAUUGCUGAAUUUCCAGGAACAAAUGUGUCUGAUGUGAGGGCAGUGAUUCUGAGAAAAUGUAACAAUGAGAAUUUUGUGAGCAAAAAUAAACAGUAAUCAGUAAAUCAGUAACUGUUUGUAAUCGUUUUUGUUUGUUUGUUCUUUGGUGGACAUACAUUUUGAACCCCUUCAGACCCUGUAUCCAUUACAAUGGACGUCACAUGACGGGGGCUUUUUUUUUACUUUUUGCAACGUUUAACACCACUUGAACCCUUAAGUCCAUAUAAGUGGAUG
Long non-coding RNA from Gadus chalcogrammus (walleye pollock), 1671 nucleotides. RefSeq lists it as uncharacterized. The transcript has 3 exons. The record is from RefSeq and is a predicted model, not a curated record. NCBI's taxonomy places the organism in Eukaryota, Metazoa, Chordata, Actinopteri, Gadiformes, Gadidae.